RNAcentral lists this ribosomal RNA (381 nucleotides) under uncultured archaeon. RNAcentral's name for it is "bacterial SSU rRNA". It matches the Rfam family "Archaeal small subunit ribosomal RNA", at positions 473 to 853 of the family's 1478-position model. The record is from RNAcentral.
ACACCGGCGGCCCGAGUGGUGGCCACUAUUAUUGGGUCUAAAGGGUCCGUAGCCGGUUUGGUCAGUCUUCCGGGAAAUCUGACGGCUCAACCGUUAGGCUUUCGGGGGAUACUUCCAGGCUUGGGACCGGGAGAGGUAAGAGGUACUACGGGGGUAGGAGUGAAAUCUUGUAAUCCCUGUGGGACCACCAGUGGCGAAGGCGUCUUACCAGAACGGGUCCGACGGUGAGGGACGAAAGCUGGGGGCACGAACCGGAUUAGAUACCCGGGUAGUCCCAGCUGUAAACUAUGCUCGCUAGGUGUCAGGGACGGUGCGACCGUUUCUGGUGCCGCAGGGAAGCCGUGAAGCGAGCCACCUGGGAAGUACGGUCGCAAGGCUGAA